CCUACGGGUGGCUGCAGUGGGGAAUUUUGGACAAUGGGGGAAACCCUGAUCCAGCAAUGCCGCGUGCAGGAUGAAGGCCUUCGGGUUGUAAACUGCUUUUGUACGGAACGAAAAGGCUCUGGUUAAUACCUGGGGCUCAUGACGGUACCGUAAGAAUAAGCACCGGCUAACUACGUGCCAGCAGCCGCGGUAAUACGUAGGGUGCGAGCGUUAAUCGGAAUUACUGGGGGUAAUACGUGAGCCAGCGGUGAAAUCCCCGGGCUCAACCUGGGAACUGCCUUUGUGACUGCAUAGCUAGAGUACGGCAGAGGGGGAUGGAAUUCCGCGUGUAGCAGUGAAAUGCGUAGAUAUGCGGAGGAACACCGAUGGCGAAGGCAAUCCCCUGGGCCUGUACUGACGCUCAUGCACGAAAGCGUGGGGAGCAAACAGGAUUAGAUACCCCUGUAGUC
Molecule: ribosomal RNA, 449 nt
Filed under: uncultured bacterium
Lineage: Bacteria
Description: partial 16S ribosomal RNA
Rfam family: Bacterial small subunit ribosomal RNA
Source: RNAcentral